UCUAGAACCGAUAACCCCCGUUCAACCUCACCACCCCUUGUUUAACCCGCCUAUAUACCACCGUCGUCAGCUUACCCUGUGAAGGCCCCAUAGUAAGCAAAAUGGGCAAAACCCAA
RNAcentral lists this ribosomal RNA (116 nucleotides) under Oncorhynchus mykiss (rainbow trout). Its description in RNAcentral is "partial 12S ribosomal RNA". Lineage: Eukaryota; Metazoa; Chordata; Actinopteri; Salmoniformes; Salmonidae. The record is from RNAcentral.